CCGGGUUGAUAAGGACACCCCUACCCUCAAGUCUUUGACGGGCUACAAAUACAUGUUCGACUCUUUCACAUAGACAAAAUAAGUAAGAUGAUCUCUUCAAAAUCAGUUUAUCUUGUUGGCAUUCUUUUAGCCUUCACUCUUCUCUUCCCCUCUGCGGUUUCAACUCGACUCCUGGUUGAGUCUAACCGUUACAACCUACAUGCUGAGUCCAAGGAGGGGUGCCAAUCUACAACAAGUCGCCAUUUACUUGACGCUCCAAGUCCAUCAACUGUUGGUCCUAAUGAUUACGGUGACGAACCCGACCUGCCGUGACCCCUGGGGUUGCUCCUGGAGAAAUGGUCCCUAAUCUGCAUGAGUUGAUUGGCAAUGAUAGAUUUGAUUAUGAAUGUGAAUUUUUCAAGGUUGAUACAUAAUUAAAUCGAUUGCUUCACAAGUUUAAUUUGCCAUAGAAUGAAUUUUUCAUUUCAAGGUGGUUUUUUUUUUUUUUUUUUUUUUUUUUUUUUUUUUUUUUUUCAUUUCAAGUUUUGUAAGUAAAUAAUGAUGCAUGUUCCAUAAAUUAUAUAUACUAGCUUGUACCCUUACUAUGCAAGGGAUAUAUAUUAUGGAAUAAUAUUGUUUUUCUUGUUUAUUUUUGUUUAAA
Long non-coding RNA from Chenopodium quinoa (quinoa), 640 nucleotides. RefSeq lists it as uncharacterized. NCBI's taxonomy places the organism in Eukaryota, Viridiplantae, Streptophyta, Magnoliopsida, Caryophyllales, Amaranthaceae. The transcript is spliced from 2 exons. The record is from RefSeq and is a predicted model, not a curated record.